Molecule: ribosomal RNA, 497 nt
Filed under: uncultured bacterium
Lineage: Bacteria
Description: partial 16S ribosomal RNA
Rfam family: Bacterial small subunit ribosomal RNA
Source: RNAcentral
GAUGAACGCUGGCGGUGUGCCUAACACAUGCAAGUCGAGCGAACAGACGAGGAGCUUGUUCCUUUGACGUUAGCGGCGGACGGGCGAGUAACACGUGGAUCACCUACUUAUUUUUCUGGGAUAAUUUCGGGAAACAGGAGCUACUACUGGCUCAUAUAACCAACCGCAUGGUUCAAUAGUUCAUGACGGCUUUCCUGUUACUUAUAGCUGGAUCCGCGCUGCAUUAGUUAGUUGGUAAGGUAACGGCCUACCAAGGCAACGAUGCGUAGCCGAGCUGAGAGGGUGAUCGGCCACACUGGAACUGAGACACGGUCCAGACUCCUACGGGAGGCAGCAGUGGGGAAUAUUGGACAAUGGGCGAAAGCUUGACGGAGCAACGCCGCGUGAGUGAUGAAGGUCUUCGGGUCGUAAAGCUCUGUUAUUGGGGAAGAAAAGAUGUGUGAGUAAAUAUGCACGUCUUGACGGUACCCAAAGAAAAAGCAACGGCUAACUUCGUG